UGCGGAGGGAUCAUUACACAACAAAAUAUGAAGGCCUGGCUUUCGCGGCCGGCUGAAGUAUUUUUUUCACCCAUGUCUUUUGCGCACUUGUUGUUUCCUGGGCGGGUUCGCCCGCCACCAGGACCAAACCAUAAACCUUUUUUUCUUAUGCAGUUUCCAUCAGCGUCAGUAAAAACAAUGUAAUUAUUACAACUUUCAACAACGGAUCUCUUGGUUCUGGCAUCGAUGAAGAACGCAGCGAAAUGCGAUACGUAGUGUGAAUUGCAGAAUUCAGUGAAUCAUCGAAUCUUUGAACGCACAUUGCGCCCUUUGGUAUUCCAAAGGGCAUGCCUGUUCGAGCGUCAUUUGUACCUUCAAGCUUUGCUUGGUGUUGGGCGUUUUUUUGUCUCCCUCUUUCUGGGAGACUCGCCUUAAAACGAUUGGCAGCCGGCCUACUGGUUUCGGAGCGCAGCACAUUUUUUGCGCUUUGUAUCAGGAGAAAAGGACGGUACUCCAUCAAGACUCUACAUUUUUCACUUUUGACCUCGGAUCAGGUAGGGAUACCCGCUGAACUUAAGCAUAUCAAUAAGCCGGAG
Molecule: ribosomal RNA, 575 nt
Filed under: Bipolaris oryzae
Lineage: Eukaryota; Fungi; Ascomycota; Dothideomycetes; Pleosporales; Pleosporaceae
Description: eukaryotic LSU rRNA
Rfam family: 5.8S ribosomal RNA (bases 191-344)
Source: RNAcentral